Culex quinquefasciatus (southern house mosquito) is the source of this 775-nucleotide RNA transcript. It is a transcript of the gene named serine protease snake, with no coding region annotated. The record is from RefSeq and is a predicted model, not a curated record. Lineage: Eukaryota; Metazoa; Arthropoda; Insecta; Diptera; Culicidae. The transcript is spliced from 4 exons.
CGAACUUCCAAGGUACGAACACACAGUGAAUCCAAUCCUGAUGUAUUCAACGCUGUUACUUUUUUCGCUGGUUUUGCUGAUAGGCCUAGCAUCAGCCAAGAGAAUUUCGGAACUCAAUUGCCAGAAGUACGCAGACAAAAUCAUACGAAUCUCGUGGGUUGCUCCCCUGGUAAUCGACCCGGAACCGAUCCAACUCAAAGCUCCCAACUGUUCGGACAGCAUCGAUCUGAUCGUGAACGGAGAGGAAGCCGGCGAAGGGGAGUUCCCCCAUCAGGCUGUACUCGGAUACGCCAGCAACGAAACGGGCAACAUUGGCGGGUAUCAGUUCCUGUGUGGAGGGUCGCUGAUUAGUGAGCGAUUCGUGCUGACGGCUGUCCACUGUGGACCGCCGCAGGUUGUACGAUUGGGGGUGUUUGAUUUGAGGGAGAUUGGAGAUGGGCUAAUCUUCGGUGUGGACGCGUUCUACAAACAUCCGAAUUAUUCGAUGAAUGCGUCGUACGACGAUAUUUCACUGGUGAAGAUCGCACGAGAUGUUUCGUUCACCUCCCACGUAAGACCGGCGUGUUUGUAGACCGAUACGGCACUGAAUCUAACCACGGUGAUUGCGACCGGUUUUGGGAACUUGGAUUUCGCUUAUGAAAGUUCGAACCAUCUGAUGAAGGUGCGUCUUCAAAUCAAGGCGAGGGAAUCCUGUGUGAAAAAGUUCAAGUUCCAAAGAAAAUUCCGACUUGGCAUCCAGAACAAGCAGCUGUGCAUUGGAAGCCAGCAGAACGGG